Molecule: ribosomal RNA, 467 nt
Filed under: uncultured bacterium
Lineage: Bacteria
Description: partial 16S ribosomal RNA
Rfam family: Bacterial small subunit ribosomal RNA
Source: RNAcentral
GAUGAAUGCUGGCGGCGUGCCUAACACAUGCAAGUCGAGCGGCAGCGCGUCUAGUUUACUAGAUGGCGGCGAGCGGCGGACGGCUGAGUAACGCGUGGGAACGUGCCCCAAAGUGAGGAAUAACUGCCCGAAAGGGUAGCUAAUGCCGCAUAUGGUCUUCGGAUUAAAGUAUUUAUACGCUUUGGGAGCGGCCCGCGUCGGAUUAGGUUGUUGGUGAGGUAAUGGCUCACCAAGCCGACGAUCCGUGGCUGGCCUGAGAGGAUGAUCAGCCAGACUGGAACUGAGACACGGUCCAGACUCCUACGGGAGGCAGCAGUGAGGAAUCUUCCACAAUGGGCGAAAGCCUGAUGGAGCAACGCCGCGUGCAGGAUGAAGGCCUUCGGGUCGUAAACUGCUUUUAUAAGUGAAGAAUAUGACGGUAACUUAUGAAUAAGCACCGGCUAACUACGUGCCAGCCGCCGCAGUAA